AGAGUUGAUUAUGGCGUCAGGAUGAACGCUGGCGGCGUGCUUAACACAUGCAAGUCGAACGGAGUUAGAGAGCUUGCUCUUAAACUUAGUGGCGGACGGGUGAGUAACGCGUGGGUAACCUGCCUUUCACUGGGGGAUAACAGUUAGAAAUGACUGCUAAUACCGCAUAAGCGCACGGGUUCGCAUGAACUAGUGUGAAAAAACUCCGGUGGUGAAAGAUGGACCCGCGUCUGAUUAGAUAGUUGGUGAGGUAACGGCCCACCAAGUCAACGAUCAGUAGCCGGCCUGAGAGGGUGAACGGCCACAUUGGGACUGAGACACGGCCCAAACUCCUACGGGAGGCAGCAGUGGGGAAUAUUGCACAAUGGGGGAGACCCUGAUGCAAGCGACGCCGCGUGAGUGAAGAAGUAUUUCGGUAUGUAAAGCUCUAUCAGCAGGGAAGAAAAUGACGGUACCUGACUAAGAAGCCCCGGCUAACUACGUGCCAGCAGCGGC
Molecule: ribosomal RNA, 495 nt
Filed under: uncultured bacterium
Lineage: Bacteria
Description: bacterial SSU rRNA
Rfam family: Bacterial small subunit ribosomal RNA
Source: RNAcentral